Molecule: ribosomal RNA, 468 nt
Filed under: uncultured bacterium
Lineage: Bacteria
Description: partial 16S ribosomal RNA
Rfam family: Bacterial small subunit ribosomal RNA
Source: RNAcentral
GAUGAACGCUGGCGGCGUGCCUAACACAUGCAAGUCGAGCGAUUCUCUUCGGAGAAGAGCGGCGGACGGGUGAGUAACGCGUGGGUAACCUGCCCUGUACACACGGAUAACAUACCGAAAGGUAUGCUAAUACGAGAUAAUAUGCUUUUAUCGCAUGGUAGAAGUAUCAAAGCUUUUGCGGUACAGGAUGGACCCGCGUCUGAUCAGCUAGUUGGUAAGGUAAUGGCUUACCAAGGCGACGAUCAGUAGCCGACCUGAGAGGGUGAUCGGCCACAUUGGAACUGAGACACGGUCCAAACUCCUACGGGAGGCAGCAGUGGGGAAUAUUGCACAACGGGCGAAAGCCUGAUGCAGCAACGCCGCGUGAGCGAUGAAGGCCUUCGGGUCGUAAAGCUCUGUCCUCAAGGAAGAUAAUGACGGUACUUGAGGAGGAAGCCCCGGCUAACUACGUGCCAGCCGCCGCAGUAA